Molecule: non-coding RNA, 278 nt
Filed under: Marmota monax (woodchuck)
Lineage: Eukaryota; Metazoa; Chordata; Mammalia; Rodentia; Sciuridae
Source: RNAcentral
AAUAGUCAAUGUGUUGGUCCAGGAACAACUUCAGGCUGGCCAUAUAGAACCUACUCUCAGUCCCUGGAAUUCACCCAUUUUUGUAAUUAAGAAAAAUCUUUUUGCAAGAUCCCAGGGCAAUGAAUCAUGUUAUCAAGCUCAUGGGAGCCUUACAACCAGAGCUUCCUUCUCCUACAGUUAUUCCUUGGGAUUAUCAUCUAAUGGUGAUAUAUUUAAAGGAUUGUGUUUUUUUUCACUAUACCUUUGCAUCCAGAUGACUGUAAAAAAUUUGAUUUUUG